CCAUAUUUGGUGCUGGAAAAUUCAGUUUCACUUUCGAAACUCAAAGCCAAACGCCAACGCUGCGCACAAAGUAGAAAGCUCCAAAAUAAGGUUUUUCUGGUGUUGAUUUAUGAUAUGUCUGAUGCUUUAACUGUUCUUCACUUGCUCUUGCUUUUUUCCAAUCAAAACCCAACUCUCUCAUCCUUCCCUCCCAGGUUUUACACUGUUCCACCUCCCUUCUCUUUCCUUCUUAUCUUGUCAUUGAAAUCUAUACACUUAACUUGUCUUUUCCUUCUAACUAUAAUAAUAUAACCAGUCAAACAUUCUCUUUCCUUUCUUUUUCUGUCGUUAAUUCCUUUUUACCUUAGUUGGUAUUAAUUAUGUUCCCAUACAUUUUGAUUGGGGGCAAUGUCUUGUUAAAUUGCAGACGCUAAUAACUAAAAGCUCAAAUUAACAAAGUCUUCCAUUUUACGCAACUAUUACCAGG
This 466-nucleotide long non-coding RNA is filed under the name Gossypium barbadense (sea-island cotton). RNAcentral describes it as "long non-coding RNA (GBAR_LNC018040)". Lineage: Eukaryota; Viridiplantae; Streptophyta; Magnoliopsida; Malvales; Malvaceae. The record is from RNAcentral.